CGGAUCGUUAACCCACUGAGCAAGGGCAGGGAUCGAACCCGCAACCUCAUGGUUCCUAGUCGGAUUCGUUAACCACUGCGCCAUGACGGGAACUCCCAAGAUUAGGUUCCCAGGCUAGGGGUCUAAUCAGAGCUGUAGCUGCCGGUCUGCGCCACAGCCACAGCAACACCAGAUCUGAGCCACAUCUGCGACCUACACCAUAGUUCACAGCAAUGCCAGAUCCUUAACCCACUGAGCGAGACCGGGGAUCCAACCCACAACCUCAUGGCUCCUAGUUGGGUUCACUAACUGCUGAGCCAUGACGGGAACUCUGAUUCCUAUAAAUAUUUUCUUGAGUUUUGUUCUGGAACAUGAUGCAGUUCCUUACAAAUGGUUUGUUCAUUUCAAAUCUUGUUAGGUGGGAUCAGAGCAGCAUUUAGUUUAGGGCUAAUUAUUUCCCACUACUGAGCCAAAACUCUUCUGAGUACUCUAAUAGUUUGUUAAUUCUGAGGUUUUCCACUCUGUUGGGAAUCAGUCCUCUUCUUGGCCCUGUGUGAGCCUCAUGAAUUAUCCUUGUUAUUCUUUUUUUGUUGUUGUUGUUGUCUUUUUGCCAUUUUCUUGGGCCGUUUUCGUGGCAUAUGGAAGUUCCCAGGCUAGGGGUCGAAUUGGAGCUAUAGCCGCUGGCCUAUGCCAGAGCCACAGCAACGUGGGAUCCAAGCCACGUCUGUGACCAACACCACAGCUCACGGCAACGCCGGAUCCUUCACCCACUGAGCAAGGCCAGGGAUCGAACCCGCCACCUCAUGGUUCCUAGUCAGAUUCGUUUCCACUGCACCACAACGGGAACUCCAGUCCUUGUUAUUCUUUUGGGUAGUUCUCCCUCCCGCUUUGCUGUUGUUUUUUGUUUUUGUUUUUUGCUUUUUAGGGCCAAACCCACGGCAUAUGGAAGUUCCCAGGCUUGGGGUCCAAUUGGAGCUCUUGCUUCCACCUUACACCACAGCCACAGCAACACCAACGUGGGAUCUGAGCCUCGUCUUCCACCUACAGCAUAGCUCACUGCAAUGCCAGAUCCUUAACCCACUGAGGGAGGCCAGGGAUCGAACCUACGUCCUCAUGGAUACUAGUCAGAUUGCCCCCCACCCCCGUUGGAUGCCCCUCAUCACAUGGAGCUCCCAGGCCAAGGAUCAGAUCCGAGCCGAAGACCUAAGCACUAGCUGCGGCAAUGCCAGAUCCCCAACCCACUGUGCCGGGCUGGGGAUCAAACCAGUAUCCUGGUGCUCCCAAGACGCUGCUGGUCCUGUUGCACCACAGUGGGAACUCCUGGGUGGUUCUUCAUAUGGAAACCUCAAGUAUUUUCUUCACAGGCGUCUGCUGGCCAGUACUGUCCUGAGUACGCAAGGAGGAGAGCUCUGGACUCCUCUUUCUGUGCAGCUCUCUCUUUUGUGGAUAACCUGCCCUGCAGACUCGAGCUGCCUUGUCCGCCUUGGCCUCAACUUGUCUCUAAGUGUGGGGAGACUGCCUAACUUCCCCUGGAUUCCUUCUCCCUGUGCUGCCAGUUGGAAACCCUCCAAGCAGUAAACUGGGGUGGUUGUAGGAUUUGCUUCAUUCUUUCCUUGUUUCUCAGGGAUCACUCUACUUCGUAACUUUGUGUCUUAAAAACUAUUGCUUUGUAUAUUCCAGUUUUCAGUUGUUCACCAUGGUGGAGUAAAUCUGGUUCAUGUCAUCCCACCUGCCUGGAAGCAGAAGUGUAAACUUUUUUUAAAAAAGGGAAGUAGGUAAUUCUCAUUGUGGCUCAGCGGAAACGAUCCUGCCUAGUAUCCAUGAGGACACAGGUGCGAUCCCUGGCCCUGCUCAGUGGGUUAAGGAUAUGGUGUUGCCAUGAGCUGUGGUGUAGGUCUGGCAUUGCUAUGGCUGUGGUGUAGGCUGGGAGCUCCAGCUCCAAUUUGACCCCCAAGCCUGGAAACUUCCAUAUGCCACAGGUGUGGCCCCAAAAAGACAAAAAAAAAAAAAAAAAAAAAAAAAA
This 2002-nucleotide long non-coding RNA is filed under the name Sus scrofa (pig). RNAcentral describes it as "lncRNA (ENSSSCG00065052055.1)". The record is from RNAcentral. Lineage: Eukaryota; Metazoa; Chordata; Mammalia; Artiodactyla; Suidae.